AGCAGCCGCGGUAAUUCCAGCUCCAAUAGCGUAUAUUAAAGUUGUUGCAGUUAAAAAGCUCGUAGUUGAACUUCAGGCCUGGCUGGACGGUCCGCCCUCUGGGUGAGCACUGUCUGUGGUCGGGUCCUACCUUCUGGCGAAGCGGCAUGGCCUUAACCGGCCGUGGCGGGGAACCAGGACUUUUACUGUGAAAAAAUUGAGUGUUCAAAGCAGGCACGCGCUUGAAUACAUUAGCAUGGAAUAAUGGAAUAGGACAAUGGUUCUAUUUGUUGGUUUCUAGGACCGUUGUAAUGAUUAAUAGGGAUAGUUGGGGGCAUUAGUAUUCAAUUGUCAGAGGUGAAAUUCUUGGAUUUAUUGAAGACUAACUACUGCGAAAGCAUUUGCCAAGGAUGUUUUCAUUAAUCAAGAACGAAAGUUAGGGGAUCGAAGACGAUCAGAUACCGUCGUAGUCUUAACCAUAAACUAUAGCCGACUAGGGAUCGGAUGAUGUUAAUUUUUAAUGACUCAUUCGCGCUAAC
This 518-nucleotide ribosomal RNA is filed under the name uncultured Paraglomus. RNAcentral describes it as "SSU rRNA". It matches the Rfam family "Eukaryotic small subunit ribosomal RNA", at positions 569 to 1091 of the family's 1831-position model. The record is from RNAcentral. Lineage: Eukaryota; Fungi; Glomeromycota; Glomeromycetes; Paraglomerales; Paraglomeraceae.